Molecule: long non-coding RNA, 837 nt
Filed under: Homo sapiens (human)
Lineage: Eukaryota; Metazoa; Chordata; Mammalia; Primates; Hominidae
Description: LNC_000645
Source: RNAcentral
AAACUUCUUAAAAGAAUAGUUUUUGAUGCACAGAAAAGUUGCAAAGAUGGUACAGAGGAUUCUCGUAUAUCCUCACCCACUUUCCUCUACUGCUAACGUCUUAUAUUGGCCACGGCAAAUGAACCAGUAUUAGUAAAUUAUUAUUAACUAAAAUCCAUACUUUAUUUACAUUUCCUUCGUUUUUACCUAAUGUCCUUUUUCUGUCCCAGGAUUCCAUCCAAGGUGCCACGUUACACUUAAACAUCAUGCCUCCAUCCUUUCUUCCUGGUCUGAGAGAGUUGCUCAGACUCUCCUGGUUUUUGAUGAUCUUGAGAGUUUUGAGUAUUCAUCAUCAGGCUGGCACCCAGCACUGUGCUAUCCUAGGAAGAAACAGCUAAAUCCCAAUGAAAGUCUCUGCUCACCACCUCCCCUGCUCCUGCCCUGGCCUGGGCUUGGGGGGACCCAGAGAGACGUCCAUAGGGUUCUGCCCUCCUGGAUUCUCUGGCUCAGACGAUGGCCCCAUCAUAUACUCCUGCAGCCAAGGCAGAAAUCCAGGCAUCAGCCCGGACUCUUCCCUCACGCCCCCUCGUGUGCCCCCUUCUGUUUUCCUGCAGUGCCCUGAUGUCCUCUGUUGCAUUGUUUAUCAUCUUUUAUUGUAAAGGCUCCAAUUGUCCAUUUCCCCAUCUAGAUGCAAUGAAGGCAGAGGCUGUGUCUAUCUUGUUCCCUGCUGUAUUCUGGGCACCUGGCACAGUGCCUGGCACUUAACAGGUGCUAAUUAAACACUGUUGAUUGAAUUACUUAGUCCCUUUGAUUCCAUUUGCUUGAUACUCAUUGAAUCCAUACCCUCCUGUCUCCCCC